Uloborus diversus is the source of this 961-nucleotide long non-coding RNA. RefSeq lists it as uncharacterized. NCBI's taxonomy places the organism in Eukaryota, Metazoa, Arthropoda, Arachnida, Araneae, Uloboridae. The record is from RefSeq and is a predicted model, not a curated record. The transcript is spliced from 4 exons.
CAUUGCAGAUAAAAUUUUGGACCUACUCCUUACCAGUUUUGUCGUGGCAUAGUUGCUAAUCUCUAUGAAGAUAUGGGGCACCAUUGUUACGAUAGGUUAAACUUCUUUACUAACAUAUACAAUGAUACAAGAAAGAUAUACAGCCCAGAGAGAAUGAAUACUACGGUACAAUGGAAAACGUAGGGAAAUUGCACAUAGCGGAAUACUUUUGAGUUUUCUCCUCUUCGUCACUCAUUGCCGGAACAAAACCUGCUGCUGGAUAGCAAAGACAACUCUUAUGAAGUUCGUACCACAUUAAAACCCCUGAUGGACGCCACUAUCAAAUUAAUAUGUGGCUUUAAUAGAUGAGUUAACCCAUAUUGUACUAAAAAGGUUCUUGAAUUCUGUUGCUUUGCUCUACAUUAGGGAUCUCAAACCUCUUCUGCACAAGGGCCACGUUGUUAAUUUUUCGAGACCGAGCAGCAGCUACUGUUGCCACAAGAAAGAUGUUUAUUUCGAAACUAAUGAAGAUCAUUCCCAUGUUGUUGACAAAAAGAAAAUCAGAAGAGAAAAAAAAAGCUAAAUGUGUAAAGAACUUCAUAAACAAAGCCAAGAAGAACGCAAUAAUUAUUUUAUUUUGAUGGAAGGAAGAUUAAUACCCUUUUAAUUGAGUAUGUCAACCAAAAGAUUUUCAAAGAACCAUAAAAUAAGAACAUUAUUCUACAAAUACAAUAUUCCGAAUCUGUUUAUGUUGACCACGCUACACCCUCAAGUGAGUCUGCUCAAACCAUGGCUAAUAGCAUUAUCUCUCGUUUGACUGAAUGUGGUUUUUGUUUGGACGAAUUUGAUGUCUUGAGAUGUAACUGUACUUCUUUUUAAAUACUUCUUUUUCUUUAUCACGUUUAAAUGAUUCCUUCCGGUAACUUUUUGCAAUGCAGUUCUUUUCUCUCUUUUUUUAUAGUAAUAAUGUUAGUAUAAUAAA